ACUCUUCACCACAGCAUAUCCUACUUCUUCAACUAAGAUGUAUUGUCUUUCACUAUGUGUAACUUGGAAUUCAUCAUGUAUCUUCUAUGGGUUAUCAAUCAAGUACCAUGGACUGAAGUUGCUGCUGUAUUUAUCAACUCUCAAAAGUGUGCUCUCUGGUGGAUGGGAUGCAGCUCUUAUUUUUUUGCUAGUUAGAGGGUCUCGAGUUCCUGGAUGAAACUUCAGAUCUGAGUAAGCUAUUCCUCCCAUCCUUUAUCUUUCUUUUCAAUUUUCAUGCUUCUUUACCCGAAUUAUACUAAUCUUCAUUGUAGUUGCUGCUGGGAUAGAGAUAAUGGUAUGCUUGGACCCGCAUGUAAUUUGUAGUAUUCUAUCUAGGUGUUUCAGCUGCAAUCUUACCUGACCCUCCCCUUUUGCUGCGAGUCCUUUUUGAAGGCUUACAUAGAUUAGGCUAGAAAACAUCUUUCCUCUUUUUGUUAGUUUCCUUAUUUUAAAUAUAUGGUUGUGUAUCUCUGAACACUGUAGCCUAUUUAUUCUCUUGUUACUCGCAUCCUUAUGUAAGGACAUUAUAAUUUGUCACUAUUUAAUAUUUUCCUACCCAUUACCUCUAAUUGUUGAAAAUUUGAAAUGGCAAAUCCACUCUGUCUAUGGCUAAGUUAGUUAGAUGAUCAACCAACUGAUUGCCUUCUUCAGAAUGUGUUGAUACUGUACUUGCUUACUAUUCACGAGUUUUCAUAUUUUCUCAACAUAGUCUAUUACAUACCAAGGACAAGUCCAUUCUUUUAUUAGAAUUUUUUGCAUCAGUAAUGAUUUAGUUUGAAUGAUCACUUUCCCUUUAUGUGUUUGAUCUGCAUGAAUAGCUGCUUGUAGAUUAGCAUUAUCCUCAGCUUCAACAUUUGUUGUAUCUCCCAUCUUAGCUCCUUCUGCAUAAACUAAGUCUCGUUUCUCAUCCCUUACAUAAAAGGCAUAUGAACUGAACCCUAGGCUGCUUUUGGAUGCCUCAUUUAUAUUGUAUAUAACCCAACCCUUCUCUGGAAACUUUCACAACACUUUAUUAAUCUUCAUUUUUGUUUUUUCUCCCUUCUAGCUCCUUUAGCAUAUCUAGCUAUCUACUGGGAAAGACUUGUCUUGGAUUUCUUACCUUAAGUAAAAAUCCCACAUUUCUUGUAAUAUUAAAUAUUACUUUGUGGAAAGAUAAGUUUUUACCAUCACGCUUUAAGCUAUUCCUUUUUUUUGAAUUUCCCUGCUGAUCAUGCUUGGUAAAGACUGAAAAUAAGGCUUGAUUCUCCCUUUGACUUCCUCAUUCCACCAUGUAAGAAUAGUUUCUUUGAGUUUUAAUCCCUCUAAUAGAAUACCUGUACAUGAAGCAAAAUAGGACCAAGUCCUGUUAGCUAAAGGUGAUCUGAGAAACACAUGAGCAAUAGUUUCUUGAUCAAGAUAAAUACAACACCAAUAUUUAGUUGGUCCUUCAAUUCCCCGUCUUCUCAUAAUAGAAUCUACUAGCACCUUUCCCUUUCAUAUUCUCCACAUUAGAAAUACCAUUUUGAAAGGUAAUCCCUUAACCCAUAUAGUUUUAUACAUUAAGUUCUUUUCUUGCCUCUGUCGAAUAUACUCCCAUGCUGACUUAACUAUGAAUUUUCCAGUAGUUUCCAACAUCCAAAUAGGAAUAUAUCUUACUCCUUCAACAAUUGUAGGCCUCAUAUUAGUUAGGAUAUAAUUGACAACUUCCUGAUGUAGUAUCUUCAUUAGUACCUGCUCAUUCCAUUGGUCUUCUCUGAUUAAAUCCUUGACCACUUGUAGUCUACCAUCCAAAUACCUAUUGUUCUGCAUAUAUAUAUAUAUAUAAGUCACCAUUAUCAGUCCAGUUAUCAAACCAUAUACUAGAUUGUCCACGUCUGAUCUUCCAUAGAAUUUGGUGCUCCACUAAAUCCCUAGCCUGCAGAAUUUUCUUCCAUACCGAAGAUCCAAAACCUGUUUUCCACACUAUUUCAUUAGGAUGCUAUUUUAUGCAGUAUUUUUUAUGCAUAAACCUACUCCAAAUAGAGUCUUUAGUUUGAAAUUUCCACUACAGCUUGUAAAACAAAGCCAUAGAUACAUCUUGUACCCUUCUAAACCCCAAACCUCCUUCUGUUUCUGGAAAGCAUAAAGAAAUGCCCCUUACCCAAUGUCUACUUCUUCCACUAAUAUGAUUUCUCCAGAAAAAUUGAGCAAACAUCCUCUGAAUUAAGCUCAAAACAUUAUCAGAAGAAUUCAUUACUGAGAGACAGUGAAUGGAGAUAGAUUGUAGGACAUGCUUAAUGAAAGCUGCUCUUCCCCCAUAUGACAAUAAUUUUCCUUUCCAUCCUUGUAGUUUAUUGCUAACCUUAUGCAUAAUAGGUUCAUAGAAAUCUUUCUUCUUCCUUAUAUGAAAUAUAGGAUACUCUAGAUAAGUAAAGGGAAAUUUCUUUUUAUUUAUCCCUGUAACAACCUCCGCCCUUUCCACACUCCCCUGUGACACUCCUUUAUGCAAAUAAGUUGUACUCUUCUCUUUAUUGAUCUUAAUACUUAUCUAAAGUAUCAAUUACUUUCUUCAGAGUAUUCAGGUCAACUUUGCAAAGAAUGAUUAUAUCAUCAACAAAGGAAAAGUAAUUCACCUUUGGACUUCCAUUUGGCAUCCCAAAAGAUUUAAAACUCUUAGUACACAUUAGGGAUUUUAAAGCUCUAGAAACCACCUCAGCUGCUAAUAUAAAGAGUGUAAGUGAUAAAGGAUCACCUUGAUUUAAGCCUCUAGUUAACCUAAAAAACCCUUUAGGUUGUCCAUUCAGUAGUAUUGAGUUCCAAUUAUUUUCUACUAAUCUGUACACCAUAUCAAUUAUUAAUUCUUAAACCCAACUUUCCUCAAUACUUUAGAAAGAAACAACCAAUCCACUGUAUCAUAAUCUUUUAUCAUGUCCAUCUUAAUUACCAUGUUAGGAAUUUUACCUCUUUUCCUAAUAUCAGUUAUGAUCUCUUGUACCACCAGAAUAUUUUCUGCAAUAUUCCUCCCUUGAAUAAAUCCUGAUUGUUCUUUAGAAAUAAUUUCAGGCAACACCUUCUUGAUCCUUUCAUGACUUAUUCUGGAAAAAAUCUCAUUCACAAAAUUACUCAAUGAAAUGGGUCUCAUGUCAUAGAAAUUACUUAUUACUAACUUUUUGGGCAGAAGUACCAAGUUUGUAUGAGUCACAAAUUUUGUAGUUCAUUCCUACAAAAGAAAGCAACCACCAUUUUAUGCACAUCUUCCUUAAUAAUAUCUCAAAUAUCCUGAAAGAAUGCUCCAGUCAUACCAUCUGGGUCUGUUGUACUAUUUCUAUUCAGCCCCAAUACAAUCUCUUUCACUUUGUGCAUCUCUGGUACUUUGUUAAGGUCUUCAUUUCGAUUGUCAUUAAGUAUUAUUGGUAAUUCCUCCAAUAUUUCAAAAUAAGUAGUCUCUUUCUCUUUAGAGAAUUGCUUUUGGAAGAACUGAGUAGCAGCUUCUGCAAUCUGAUUUAGAUCUUCCAGCCAUUCCCCCUCAUCAUUCUGUAUUCUUUUCAGCUUGAGCCUGUUUCUUAUGCCUUUUACCACUGUGUGAAAGAAUUUGUUGUUUAUUUCACCAUCCUUAAACCACGCUAAUCCAACUUUCUAAUUCUAAAAUUCUUCUUCCCUACCAAGCUGUAAAUUGAGCUGAGUCUGAGCUUUGAAAAUAAAUCUCUAUUUGGACCUGAAGGAUUCUCCUCAAAUUGCUUCUCCAUAACUUUAAUCACUUUCUUCGGAGUAGCAAUCUCUUGAAAGAAUUACUAAAGCACUCCUUCAUCCAUUUAGUUAAAGCAAACUUUACCCUUUCAUCUUAUGGUAAAACAUAAUAAAAGGAUUACCCAUCACAUCAGUCUUCCAGUUUUCUUGUAUUAUCUUCAGACAAGAAUUCUCCUUUAGCCACAUGUUUAAGAGCCUGAAAGAUUUGGAGAUGUUAUCCUUCAUAGUACUGAAGUUGAUUUUUAAAGGAGUGUGAUCAAAACACUUCUAAAUAGAUGUUCAACUUCCAGUACUGGAAAUAAAUCAUGUAAAUUCUCAUUAACCAAAACUCUUUCCAUCCUUUUAAAAAUACAAUUUUCAUCUGUUCUUCCAUUCCACCAAAUGUACUUGCUCUCCUUGAACCCCGGUUCGUCUAUAUUACACAUGUUUAAUGCUUGAAAUCUGCAGUUUCUACUAUAGUCACUGGUAAUUCUCCCAAUUUCUCUUCGUAACUAGUUAUGACAUUGAAGUCCCCACCUACCAACCAGGGAUCUUGAAUUCCUUGAGCCAGUUCUUCAAGUGAUUCCCAUAAUAACAAUCUCUCACCUUGGAUACAUUUAGCAUAAAUAAGUGAUACUAUAACUAUCACCCCUACUUAUUGAUUCUCUAAUUUAACUAUGAGUUGCUAUUCUUCAUCUCUUAAAACUUUACAGACAAUAUCAGCUCUAAGAAUGCCCAUAUUUUUCCUAAAGUAUUAGAAAUUGAGUGCUAUAUUCCUAACAUUCUCCUAUACUCUUCAAUAUCUUUGCUAUCUUAGAAAGGUUCCAUUAGCCCUAUAAAUGCAAACUAAUAUCUUUUAUGUAAUGUGAUCAGUCUUGUAAAGGCCUUCUGAGUGUUGACUGAUCUAAUGUUCCAUAUAAGAGCAUUCAUUUUGACUAAUUGUUUUGUGAACUCCUUGUCUGCAUUGAACUUUCUUUAACUCCUUUGUGUUUUUCCUUUUACAUACCCCGAUUUGUUUUCAACUUAUCUAUCUGCUUAGGAGAUAGAUUCCCUUCAAGCCCCACUUUGUCAAUCGUAUCCUUCAAAUCAUCUUCAUCCAACACUACAUUAUCUUUGUUACUGGAGGUAAUCUGUUUUUCAACUUGAAUUGCUAAAGGAAAAAUGUCCUCCAUCACAUCCAUACAUCUUUGAUACCCUCAAGUUUCAAAAUGGCUCACUGCAUAUCCCCCUUAUUAUUUCCUUUUAGACUUUGUUAUCUUGUUGUAUUAUCAUUGAACUCCACCUCCUCCUCAUCAAGUUCAUCCUGUUUGCUCACUUUGUCCAUAGAUUUCUUUGUUGUUUUGUCUUUCUCUGAUUUGCCAAAAUUCUUAGUAGCCCAAUAUUUUGUACUUUCUUUAUUCAUCUGUUGCUUUACCCAUUGUCACUUUUUUUAGCUAAUGUUUCCUUUUGAAUUUUUCUAGUAUAAUUUCGGGAUAUGAAUAAUUAGAGUUUUAAUAAUUAUUCAUGGAUCUUGGGAUUAUGCAUUACUAACGGAGUGACAUGCGUAUGUUAAUAGCUAACUUUAUUAUUAGUAGAUUAAGUACGGGUAGGUUUGGUUAUAGGUUUUGAUGUUAGUCUUUCAACAAAACACUAAACUUUCACCUGUUGAUUCUUUUGAAUACCUAAUGGGUGUGUUUAACAAUUGGUAACCACAACCUCAAUCUGGCCAUCCUUAUUUCUAGGAUAAUACCCAUGGUAUAGUCAACUUCAUAACCACCCUUAUGUCUAACAUAGUAAUAGAUUAGAUGACUACACAUAAUUGUCUACCAUUUCUUUGGUCUCCACAUUCCUCUUUCAAGGAUGAUAUGGAUUCCCAAAAUUCACCCAAAACCCUUCUUUCCAAGAUGGCCUUAAGUUUUCUAGAGUUUGGAGAUUUCACCCAUCAAACCCAUGUGGGUAUUUGAGGCUUUCACCCACAAAUUCCAACCAAGUUAGCAUAGCAAUGGUAAAACCUAUCAAAAUGUACUAUCAAAUAGAAUCUAACAAUAACAAACCAUACACACUAUUAGCCCCUAUUCACACAUAACCCCAAGAGGGGGAUCUAGCUACACAUAAUAUAAAUAAGCAUAGAUAUAUCCAAAAUCUCCAUUGAAAUGACUUUAUGAAGAUUAAGUGAAUGUUACUUCAAACUUGUCUCUCCACAAAUCAACAAUGGAAGUGACCUAAUCCUUCACUUAGAAAGUCUCCAAUGUAUUCUUCACCUUAAAUUUAUAUAAUAAUUUCUUCUCCAAGUAUGAAGGCUCUGCACUCAAGAGCUAAACCUAAAAUUGGGGAAGAUGGAAUAUCUUAUGAUGCUAGGGUUUGAGUUUUUUUGUCAAAAUUGGGGUCAGCCACGUGCAUUUCCAGUUUUUCUCUUGGGUUGCUAUCUUACGCUAAGCCGUGAUCGCGUGGGUAUAGCCGCUAUCACGUCUAUGCAACCGUGGUUAUCUUUCAUGACCGCGGUUGUUAGACUUCUGCUCGGCUGCUGCAAUCGUGGUCGCUAGACCAUUAUCGCCGUAACUGAGGCCCUUCUGUUCCAGGUCUUUAGCAACACUUUCUUGUUCCCUUUUUGAUCGUUUUAAGCUCUAAUCCACAUCCUUAUAUCUCCUCAACUCUAUUCCUGCAAAGUAUGGAUAGUAAUGUAUUUAAUCACACUUAUGUCUCAUUUAUUCAUUCAAAAUAAGGUAAUGUGCACGAAUGAUGAGUGCCAAUGAGUGGUAAAUCACUAUUCAUCAAUAUUGUUGUGAGCAUCCGAGAGGAUAAAAAUCUUAAGUCAAAAUCACAGGUGUGGACGACUCUAAAAAGGGACGCAGCACAAUGUGGAACUUUUUCUUAGCAGCAAAUGGACAUAGUCUAGAGAGGAACGUUAAACUCUUUGGAUGCGAGCUAAUGGAUAAUCGCCACUACCAUCAAAUCAUACUCCUGAUAGAAGGCAUGUGGGUACUUUGAGAUAUUUUAGUUUUAUCUUCAGUCUCGGGAUAUUUCUAAACUCAUACCAAGGGUAACCCUUCUUUCCUUCAAAUUCAAGUGACAAUAUAGUAAGAGUUUUGGAAAUUAUGUCUAUAUAAGCUCUUACCUAUGGAUGUGAAGGAUCCCACAUUAAUGGUUAAGAGGUUACAAGCCUAUUUUUCGCAACUCAAUUAACUUGUCACUCAUCUCGAGCCAAAGAUUGUCUAAAAUAAAGGACUAUCUUUUCUACCGAUUGAGUCAAACUGUAGCAGUUUGAUUUCCUAAGUCGCAGCGAUAUAUAUGUUGGGCUCUAUGUUGAAAGCUCUACUACAUUCCAACCUCCCCCCAGUCCUCUUAUUUCCCCGCUUUCCAAUUUCACCAAAAUUUAGAAACUAGGAUAGCUUGUGAAUUUCUUGAAAAUCGUGCUUUAAAAUCAAGCUUUAUGAACUACAAGUGGCCUCAUUUCUCAUAUAACCUGAGAUAUAUAGGAAAACUGAUACCGAGGUUCAGCCAUAACUCCACAAAACUUGUGUGAAAACCAACCUCUUUCAGAAACGAAUUUGUGAUCGGACGAAAAUUAGGAACAUCAAACUCCCUUUGCCUAGGGCUACUUGCAUCCACCCAACCCAAAGGGAGGGGACAGUUGUUGACACCUAAUUUUUACCCUCCACGACUAACUUUAAUCCUGAGUUUCUUAAAAUUUUAAAUAAGAUUACAACAUUUAUUUUAUCCUGAUAAAAGCUUUUCAAAGUAUAUAUUUAGGUAAUUUCGCCAUUUUAAGUAACAAUUAUAUAGUUUCGUAUUCGCAUAUAUAAAGUCGUAUAUGACUAAAUUAUAAAUAAAAUUGACUAAAGAUUCAACCCAGUUAGGUUAUUUCUAAUCUAAUUGAGGUUAUUUUCAAAAAUAAAUCCAAAACCCUCUUAACCCAAAUGACCACCAGCCCAUUUCAACAUUAGUGGCCCAACCCAGCCUUUCCCUUGACCCGCUCCAGCCCAACUCCCCUUAUCCCUUCCCCUGACCGGAUAAACAACAAAAAAACAACGAAUCAACUAACAAAAACCGACCAGCAAGAAGCAACAGUUAUCAUACAACGCACAACAAUAAUUUCAACGGCAAAACUGACAUCGGACAUCAACAACAAUUUGGAGGACAACAACUCAACAGCAACCCGAUUUUAACCCAACGACUCCGACAGAAAACAACAACUGCGUACCAAAAGAAACUCGGCUCGCCCCUGACCCGAUUUCAGUCAGCAAAUCCGACAUCAGCAAACCCCAAAACAUCCCAUUUGAAUUUCAAAAUUGUACGAUUCUGUAUAAUUCCAGCUUAUCUACCUUAUCCUCUUAUCUCAAAUUCAAAUCCCUCAGUAAAUUCCCAAAUUACCCUCAUAAUUCCUUGUUCCCACAUCAAUCGUUCUCAAUUUUUACAUUCCAAAAAUCCCUAUAAAUACUCCUUCAUUUCCAUUGUUAAAGGGGAGAGGUCAGAUAGUCGAGAACCCCGAAAAGCGUGGGAUUUUGCUAAGACCAAAGAUUUCGGUGCUAAGGAAUUUGAUAAGACUCAUUUGAGCUUGAAAUUCUAAGAUAUGGAAUCGAUUUUGUUUUCCGGUGGUGAGCUCAAAAUUCUAAACUAAGGAAUCGAGUUUGUUUUUCGAUGGUGAUUCCGACGAUGUCUCAUAGUCCGGUUUGCUGCCCUAAAAAAGGUAACAUAACUCUUUCAUUAAUAUGUUGGCUUUUCGUAUUCUUUUUCUUUUUUCUAGUAGCAAUUUUCGUUAAAAGUGAUGCUGGGACUAUCUGUUGCAGUGCCUUGAAGGCCAUUGGCUUUGUGACUGAUGUUCUUGUUAUUUUUUAUUUUGUUAUCUAGUUUUUCUUUCAUAAAAGAUCUGCUUUAACAUUAUUUGUUAGCUGUACGAUUUCCUUCUCUGGAUGUUGUUUGGUUCAAUUAAUGUUCAGUUUAAAUGAAUUUUUGUUUAGCUUUCUUCUGAGUUCAGGAUGUUAUAUGUGAUGUUGUUGAAAAAUAUUCAUCGCACCAUUUAAAUGUAAUAUUUCCAACUUUGAGUUCUCAUUUUUCGCUUAUCUCCAUACAUCUUCUUUUGAACUUGUACUUGCCGAUUUUAGUCCUAGAUUAGUUCAUCGUGGUUUUAGUUCUUUGUCUGGUUGUUGUUUCAAGUUGAUUCAUUCCUCUAUUAGUGGGUUUUGCAUCUAUGACACUUGAACCAAUGCCUAGUCUUUAUGGUGUCUUUCUCGUCAGAAUAUUCAAACUUUAGUCAAAUGAAAUUAGUCGAGCUGUUUCAAUUGCAUCGCUAGGAAUGGAAUGAUGAUUUACUUGUUGGUUUUUGAAGUUUUGUCAACUGUUGGCUGCUCCUCUCUGCUAAAAAUAUUUUCUGAAGCUUAAUCCCCUAUCUAGGUUCAAACCAAGUGCAUAAGACCUGAUGUUUUAGCAUUAGAAUUCUCUGUGACUUCCCAAAUAUUAUAGCAUAAGUCAUGCUCCUUCUAAUUUGAUUUGUUGUAUGUUACCUCCCUAAAGCUGGUGCAGCCAUAUACGUUCGCAUAAUUUUAAAUCAGGAAAGUAAAUGUUUUAAGUCAACUAUUAGUGUGGAUUAGUGAGCAGUGACUAAAUAUAUUUUCUCAUUACGUGCUUUAAAAAUGGAUCGAGCCGGCUACAGUUCGAAUCUAAAUUGAUAUGUAAAGGUUAGCCUGUUAACUUUUACAAUUGGCGACAGUCAAAUAUAAAGGUAUGAUUAUUUAUUUGACUUCGAAACCACCAUGCGACAGUUAUAAAAAGAUUGUUUUUAAUGACCUCAGAUAUAGCAUUAGAUGAACCAGAGAAUUGACAUUCUUUAGACAGCUAAAGUUUGUUACUUUUUUUUUUUCAUGUGAAAAGUAGCAUUAGUUAAUUAUUCCUAGUCAUAGUAUUGUAUUGUGGCUUCAAUUCGAAAUCAUGUUUUAUUUUGGUCGGGUUUCUGUAAUCUAUGUGCCUGCUAGAAUUGAUCUUCUUAGAUGAGAAUACACUUCAAAGAGGAAUUUUGGACAGAAUGUCAAAAUCAAUUAAUUGAAUGUGUUCUUUGUUAUAUUAUUCAUACAAUGUUAGAUCUCUGUUGCAUCACACACUAACCUUUAUCUCUUCUUUGCAAUGCAUGAACCACCCGAGUCCAUGGGACUCUCCCUCCUGCGUUUUUGGAGUUGAACCCUCUCUCUCUCAAGUCAAGCUUAAAUUAGUCCGAAGUGGACUGAUUAGAAGGAGAAUAACGCAGGUAUACACUGGUAUACAUUAAGUAUACAGUAGUAUACAAGUGAUAUGUGGAUCGGGAGAGCAAUAAUACAGGUAUUGCUGCAAAUAUAUGGAAAAUACAAAGAAGAAAGGUACUGAUAUACGCUGAAAUAUACUAAAAAUGCAGCAAAAAGAGGACCGGUAUACAAUCAGUAUACAAUUGAUAUACACAGCUGAAAAGGCUGAAAAUCCACAAAAAUGGGCCCAAAAAUCUGGGCAAAUGCUAAUGGACCUAUCUGAGGUCGAAAACUUAACUUCUCUUCUUUAGUUUAUUUAUACUAAAAAUUAAACAAAUACGCAACUUAUGUUUUCAAUAUUACAAAAAAUUUCAACUCCCAAAAUAUAUUACAAAAAUUCCAACAUAUACACAGAAUGCGAUGUAUAUGUCGGCUAUGUUAUGUAUAUUAAGAGGGAGAGAGAGUAAACUAAUUAAAAAAGUGGGACAGUGCAAUUACUUUCAGAAGAGUAAGUAUUUAUUUAUACUUUAUACUAAAAUUCAUAUUUGAUUACUUGUUUGUAAUGAACUCUCAAAUUUAGUUGUAUCGAAUUAAAUUCCCUUUUGAAUUGUCA
Long non-coding RNA from Capsicum annuum, 10527 nucleotides. RefSeq lists it as uncharacterized. The record is from RefSeq and is a predicted model, not a curated record. NCBI's taxonomy places the organism in Eukaryota, Viridiplantae, Streptophyta, Magnoliopsida, Solanales, Solanaceae. The transcript has 2 exons.